Molecule: ribosomal RNA, 2012 nt
Filed under: human gut metagenome
Description: bacterial LSU rRNA
Rfam family: Bacterial large subunit ribosomal RNA
Source: RNAcentral
UCAAGCUAAAAAGGGCGCAAGGUGAAUGCCUUGGCACUGGGAGCCGAUGAAAGACGUGGUAAGCUGCGAAAAGCUUCGGGGAGGAGCAAACAUCCAUUGAUCCGGAGAUAUCUGAAUGGGGCAACCCAAUGGAGUUCAUACUCCAUUAUCCAAUACUGAAUCCAUAGGUAUUGGAAGGGAACCGCCUGAACUGAAACAUCUAAGUAGGGCGAGGAAGAGACAUCAAACGAGAUUCCGUAAGUAGUGGCGAGCGAACGCGGAAGAGGGCAAACCGAGAGGAGAAAUCCUUUCGGGGUACGGACUGCUUUUAGGACUGGAAGAGUUAACAGAAUGGCAUGGGAAGGCCAACCGAAGAGUGUGAGAGUCACGUAAGUAAAAAUUCUGACAGCUGCGCAGGAUCCAGAGUACGGCCAGACACGUGAAACCUGGUCGGAACAUGGGGGGACCACCCUCCAACCCUAAAUACUACCCAGUGACCGAUAGCGUAUAGUACUGUGAAGGAAAGGUGAAAAGGACCCCGGGAGGGGAGUGAAAGAGAACCUGAAACCUUGUGCCUACAAGCACAUAGAGCCCGUCAAAGGGUGAUAUGGUACUUUUUGUAGAACGGUCCGGCGAGCGAUUGUACGUUGCGAGCUUAAGGUCUUAAGGACUGGAGGCGUAGCGAGAGCGAGUCUAAACAGGGCGUUUAGUAGCGUGCAAUGGGCCCGAAACCGGGUGACCUACCCAUGAUCAGGCUGAAGUGAAAGUAAAAUUUCAUGGAGGGCCGAACCGACCUCCGUUGAAAAGGCGGCGGAUGAAUUGUGGGUAGCGGAGAAAUUCCAAUCGAACUCGGAGAUAGCUGGUUCUCCCCGAAAUAGCUUUAGGGCUAGCCUCAUGUUAGAUAUCCGGAGGUAAAGCACUGAAUGGCCUAGCGUCCGAGAGGAUAGCGAAGCCUAUCAAACUAAGAAUGCCGGAAUAUUGAUGCAUGGGAGUCAGACAGUGUGAGAUAAAUCUCAUUGUCAAAAGGGAAACAGCCCAGAUCUACAGCUAAGGUCCCAAAUUGUAUCUAAGUGGAAAACGAUGUGGAAAUACGCAGACAACCAGGAUGUUGGCUCAGAAGCAGCCACUCAUUUAAAGAGUGCGUAAUAGCUCACUGGUCGAGCGUCUCUGCGCGGAAAAUUUAACGGGGCUAAGAUACAAACCGAAGCUUAGGCUGCACUUUUAGUGCGGGGUAGGGGAGCGUUGUGUAAGCGGAGAAACGAUAGCGUAAGCGGUCGUGGAGUUUACAGAAGUGAGAAUGCCGGAAUGAGUAGCGCGAAUGAUGUGAGAAUCAUCAUGGCCGGAAACCUCAGGUUUUUGGAGGAAGGUUCGUCCGCUCCAAGUUAGGCGGGAGCUAAGGUGAGGCCGAAAGGCGUAGCCGAUGCACAGACGGUAGAUAUUCCGUCCCCACCGAAAGAUUUAAGCGCAGGGACACUUUUAGAAGGUCGGAGCCAGGUGUUGGUUCUGGUAGAGAUCGAGGGAAAUUUAGUACCGAAGUCCGGCUGGAUAAGAGGCGAGAAAAGCUGCGUGUAUAUCUAAGGUGCCCGUACCGCAAACCGACACAGGUAGGUAGGAAGAAGAUUCUAAGGCCAACGGGAGAAGGGUUGUUAAGGAACUCGGCAAGUUGACCCCGUAACUUCGGAAUAAGGGGUGCUCAUGAAAGUGAGCCGCAGAGAAUAGGCCCAGGCAACUGUUUACCAAAAACACAGGUUUGUGCUAAAUCGAAAGAUGACGUAUACGAGCUGACGCCUGCCCGGUGCUGGAAGGUUAAAAGGAGAUGUGCAAGCAUUGAAUUGAAGCCCCAGUGAACGGCGGCCGUAACUAUAACGGUCCUAAGGUAGCGAAAUUCCUUGUCAGGUAAGUUCUGACCCGCAUGAAAGGCGUAAUGAUCUGGGCACUGUCUCAACAGCCCGCCCGGCGAAAUUGUAGUACCGGUGAAGAUGCCGGUUACCCGCGACAAGACGGAAAGACCCCAUGGAGCUUUACUGUAGCCU